GCAGUCGAGCGGCAGCACGGGUACUUGUACCUGGUGGCGAGCGGCGGACGGGUGAGUAAUGCCUAGGAAUCUGCCUGGUAGUGGGGGAUAACGUUCGGAAACGAACGCUAAUACCGCAUACGUCCUACGGGAGAAAGCAGGGGACCUUCGGGCCUUGCGCUAUCAGAUGAGCCUAGGUCGGAUUAGCUAGUUGGUGAGGUAAUGGCUCACCAAGGCGACGAUCCGUAACUGGUCUGAGAGGAUGAUCAGUCACACUGGAACUGAGACACGGUCCAGACUCCUACGGGAGGCAGCAGUGGGGAAUAUUGGACAAUGGGCGAAAGCCUGAUCCAGCCAUGCCGCGUGUGUGAAGAAGGUCUUCGGAUUGUAAAGCACUUUAAGUUGGGAGGAAGGGCAGUUACCUAAUACGUAAUUGUUUUGACGUUACCGACAGAAUAAGCACCGGCUAACUCUGUGCCAGCAGCCGCGGUAAUACAGAGGGUGCAAGCGUUAAUCGGAAUUACUGGGCGUAAAGCGCGCGUAGGUGGUUCGUUAAGUUGGAUGUGAAAUCCCCGGGCUCAACCUGGGAACUGCAUUCAAAACUGUCGAGCUAGAGUAUG
RNAcentral lists this ribosomal RNA (599 nucleotides) under Pseudomonas sp. Its description in RNAcentral is "bacterial SSU rRNA". It matches the Rfam family "Bacterial small subunit ribosomal RNA", at positions 57 to 650 of the family's 1533-position model. Lineage: Bacteria; Pseudomonadati; Pseudomonadota; Gammaproteobacteria; Pseudomonadales; Pseudomonadaceae. The record is from RNAcentral.